GGCAGAAUCAGCGGGGAAA
RNAcentral lists this non-coding RNA (19 nucleotides) under Arabidopsis thaliana (thale cress). Lineage: Eukaryota; Viridiplantae; Streptophyta; Magnoliopsida; Brassicales; Brassicaceae. The record is from RNAcentral. RNAcentral also lists the same sequence under 1 other name.